UAAGCAUAUCAAUAAGCGGAGGAGAAGAAACCACAGGGAUUGCCCUAGUAACGGCGAGUGAAGCGGCAACAGCUCAAAUUUGAAAUCUGGCUCUCUUUGGGGGUCCGAGUUGUAAUUUGCAGAGGAUGCUUUGGCAUUGGCGGCGGUCUAAGUUCCUUGGAACAGGACAUCGCAGAGGGUGAGAAUCCCGUACGUGGGCGCCUGCCUUUGCCGUGUAAAGCUCCUUCGACGAGUCGAGUUGUUUGGGAAUGCAGCUCUAAAUGGGAGGUAAAUUUCUUCUAAAGCUAAAUACCGGCCAGAGACCGAUAGCGCACAAGUAGAGUGAUCGAAAGAUGAAAAGUACUUUGGAAAGAGAGUCAAAAAGCACGUGAAAUUGUUGAAAGGGAAGCGCUUGCAGCCAGACUUGCCCGCAGUUGCUCACCUAGGCUUUGGCCUGGGGCACUCUUCUGCGGGCAGGCCAGCAUCAGUUUGGGCGGUUGGAUAAAGGCCUCUGUCACGUAUCUUCCUUCGGGAUGACCUUAUAGGGGAGGCGUAAUGCAACCAGCCCGGACUGAGGUCCGCGCAUCUGCUAGGAUGCUGGCGUAAUGGCUGUAAGCGGCCCGUCUUGAAACACGGACCAAGGAGUCUAACAUCUAUGCGAGUGUUUGGGUGUCAAGCCCGGGCGCGCAAUGAAAGUGAACGGAGGUGGGAACCCUUUGGGUGCACCAUCGACCGAUCCUGAUGUCUUCGGAUGGAUUUGAGUAAGAGCAUAGCUGUUGGGACCCGAAAGAUGGUGAACUAUGCUUGAAUAGGGUGAAGCCAGAGGAAACUCUGGUGGAGGCUCGCAGCGGUUCUGACGUGCAAAUCGAUCGUCAAAUUUGGGCAUAGGGGCGAAAGACUAAUCGAACCAUCUAGUAGCUGGUUCCUGCCGAAGAUCCCCCC
This 921-nucleotide ribosomal RNA is filed under the name Pseudocamarosporium tiliicola. Its description in RNAcentral is "eukaryotic LSU rRNA". It matches the Rfam family "Eukaryotic large subunit ribosomal RNA", at positions 35 to 974 of the family's 3401-position model. The record is from RNAcentral. Lineage: Eukaryota; Fungi; Ascomycota; Dothideomycetes; Pleosporales; Didymosphaeriaceae.